AAUCCUGAGAAUGGAACCAAACCUUUUAAGAGUGCAAGUAUGCAAUCUAUACCAAACCAAACCAUUAAGCUUGAAUAUAAGUUAUUGCCAUGAUCUGAAGGUCAAGGAAUGGACAAGAAAUUUAGUGGACAAAAUUUGAUGAGAUAAAAACCAUCUAUUCUAGCACCUCUCAGAGUUGAGGUGUUCUGGGACUGAAAAAAAAUUAUGAAUGAGAAGAAUAGAAACCAUAGGAGCACUUCCCCUCUCCACAGACAGCUGCUGAUGGGUUAAGAGCUACUGAGAACAGCCCUCAGAUGGUUUGAAUUGGGCACACUGAAG
Molecule: long non-coding RNA, 318 nt
Filed under: Homo sapiens (human)
Lineage: Eukaryota; Metazoa; Chordata; Mammalia; Primates; Hominidae
Description: HSALNT0237107
Source: RNAcentral